ACACACAGAAAGGGAGAGAAAAAUGCCAGCACAUGUGCAUGUUAGAUAAUGCUGCAUUUUGUUCUAAAACAUCUGAAAUUCAAGGACAGAUUUUUGCUUCUGCAAUAUAGAAAAAUUUCCCCACCCAAAGUAUCUACUGUAUAUUUCCCCUUUAAAUGACCUUAUUAUUUUUUUUUUUAUAGUAGGAAAUAUAAAAAUUGUACUACACAAGAUAAGAUCGAUAAGACAUACCACAAUAUUUAAAAAAAAAAAAAAUUCAAAAGAAUAUUUGAGGCCCAAGUACUAAAAUGCUUAAAGUCUUGUUAGUAGAGUUUUGCUUUCAAGACGGUAAUAGGUUUGCAUUAAAAAAACAAGGGUUAUAUAGUUGUUCAACACUAGUUUAACUUGACUAAGAGGCCAGUAUAUUCUGUUAACUUGUUAUUUUCUUUGUAAAGACUUUAUGUUUAUAAAGGUAAAUCUAACAAAUUAACAAACCUUUUCCAAUAACAAGUUUUUUUGGUACCAUUUUUCUCCCACGAUCACUUCCACAGCAUAAUCCAGGACUAAAUCAGAUUGCCAGGGUAGAAAUGUACAAAGUGACAUUGAUAGAGAGGUAGUACUUUCUAGGCAAACUCGGAACCAAGAGUGGAGGAUGAUAAAAAAAAUGUUACUAAAUGGUUAAAUAUCCCCUUCGUUUUCUUUCUGUCACGUUGCAGGUUUUACUCCUUUGCAGUUUUAAGAUUUUCAGAGUCAAAAGUCAAAGUGAGCUUUAUUGUUAACAUAGAUCCAACUUGACAGUUCCAUCCUCACGAACCCACGGUGCAGCAUGCUGAAACAGCAUCUGAAAGCCAGCAUCAUAACAACAAACAAGCAAUAAAAUAAGAUGCAAAAUAACAAGAAGUAACAUAGCACAAUGUGGUAGAUGAAUAAAGUGGCUGGUGUAGUCCCUGAUGUGUUAAUGUUUUAAGUGAUAGUGUCUGUGUAGGUGGGAGGUUUUUUUUUUUUUUUUUUUUUUGCAAAUACCAGAUUUAACUCAGCCAUCCAUGAACAUCAGUGUUUUACAGAGUUUACAUUCAAAUAAAUCAAUAAUAUCAGCCGACUUUUGUGGGAGUAUUUGAUUUUAAAGAGGUGCUGACUUUUGCUGUCAGCCUUUGAUUCAAGCCUUUUUAAAAAUUUUAACCUGCAAAUAUAAUCUAAUGUUAGUGUUUCGGGAUGAAAAGUAAAGGAUAUAGAACGUAGAACGGCCAAAAACUACAGGAUACAUUUAGGUAUUUAGUGUGGAAAAAAAAGAGCAAAAACAGGCACAGUUGGGAAAAACUUGACACACCACCAGCUGAUGAUGCUGCGGAUGUUCUUUCCACGCAGGACUUGGAAUGUCCCCACACUGCCAAACUUACCAAUAGUUACAUGACCGUGGUGUCACUGUGCUUAUUUGACAAGGAAACUGGCCUGACUUAAACUUCAUAGAAAAGCUAUGCAGCAUUGCCAAGAGGAAGAGAAACAGUAGAGCCAACAAUGCAGACAAGCUGAAAGCGUACAUUUACAGUAAAUUGGGUUUCCUUAACGCCUUAGCGGAGCCAUGAGCUCCAUGCCACACAACACUGAUGAUUUGAUUCAGCAGUAUUCAGCGCAUAUAUUAUACAGUGUGCAAAAAUAGCUACCAGUAGUUCUUAGCUUUUUUUUUUUUUGCUUGUUUUGUUUUGUUUUUGGCUUAAAGCAAUAUUCUUAUUUUAAAAUAAACUGAACUUUCAGGCCGUCCUUAUUUAAAGGGUGAGAAAUAAUUCUUGAAAUAAAUCACUGUGUAUGCAAUAAUACUGUAUGGGAGAAACUUUUUAAUUGCAAAACUGAACUACAUAAACUUUUGUGUAUUGUAACAUAUUGAGGUGAACCGGUAAUUUAACUUUUUGGUUAGAUUUUAGAUUUUCCAGAGCUGCAGUUAUUCAUCACAUAGUUAAAUAAAUUACAGAUAACUCAUUCAAUUUUAUUUUGCUAUUUAAUUUUAGUAACUUGGUGGCUACAUUUCCCAGUUACAUUGCAUAAUACAAUAGUGUUUAGUUCAGUGUUUCUCAACCUUUUUUGGGCCCCUAUCCAUUACCAAUUCUGGGUAAUGGAUAAGGGGAUCCAUUACCCAGGUCCUUCACCGCCCCCCAUCAAAGAAGAUGUAGGAUACUUUCACUGAAUAUUAUUUUAUGAUUAAUAUUACUAUCAUUAUUGUUAAUGUUUUGAUUUGUAUGGUUGUUUCUGUACUUAUAAAAAAUAAAUUCCCAGAGAACAAAAAAGCCAUAUGAAUAGAAAUUAUUUCUACAGGCGUCAACAAAAAAUGCAAUGAAUGGACAUUCAACUUAAAAUCGGUAGGCCUAAUAGCAGCCAAUUAGAGUGGCAAAAAAAUAUUCCUGUUCUGUGCAAUUUUCUGAUGUUAGUUGUUAAUUAUUGCACAAAAUGACCAGAUAAAAGAUGUACAACAAUGCCAGUUUAAACUUUGAUCUAUUUCCAAAACGACAGGGUUCUGCAACAUUAAAACAUGAAUAGAACUGCAACUAUAUCAAUCAUAACUCUUCUUCUCUUCAGUGCAGCUGCCUUCCAUUUAUAGUAUCAGCUAUAAAAUUUCACCCACGUGGCAUUUACUUUGCCCAUAUCACUUCAACAAUAUUAUUUUACCUUUUAUCUGAAAACAGUAUCUGUUUGUUCUUGCCAUACAGUCCUCUGUAUUAACUAUUGCUCAAAAGGUCUUGCCAUACAAGUUUAUUCCUCUGUAUUUACUUUAGUUUCUUAGUUUAUUCUUGCAUUUUGUUCUUCAUUCAUUUCCAUUUAUUUUCCUAUGAUUAGUAUUAUCUUUUCUUGGUUUAUUGUUAUAUCCUCUUUAGUUUAUUUCCUGUUGCUAGUUUUAUUUUCUCGUUUGUAUUGACGCUCACCACCAGUAAUCUUUCAGUUUCACCUGAUUUGACACUCAUAUUGAUUUUUCACUAUUCACCGCCGGAUUCUCUGAUUCUGAUUCACAUCUACAGUCAUGGCCAAAAGUAUUGAGAAUGACACAAAUAUUAUAUUUUCACAUGAUCUGCUGCCCUCUGGUUUUCAUGUGUGUAUGUCAGAUGUUGUCAUCACUUACAGAAAUACAAUUGCAAUCAUAUUAUGAGUAACAAAAGCUUUUAAUGACAGUUAGAAUGAGUUAAUGCAGCAAGUCAAUAUUUGCAGUGUUGACCCCUCUUCUUCAGGACCUCUGCAAUUCUCCCUGGUAUGCUCUCAAUCAAUUUCUGGAUCAAAUCCUGACUGAUAGCAGUCCAUUCUUGCACAAUCAAUGCUUGCAUUUUGUCAGAAUUCCUAGGUUUUCGUUUGUCCACCCGUCUCUUGAUGAUUGACCACAAGUUUUCAAUGGGAUUAAGAUCAGGGGAGUUUCCAGGCCAUGGACCCAAAAUCUCUAUGUUUUGUUCCCUGAGCCAGUUAGAUAUCACCUUUGCUUUAUGGCAAGGUGCUCCAUCAUGCUGGAAAAGGCAUUGUUCAUCACCAAACUGCUCUUGGACGGUUGGGAGAAGUUGCUCUCGGAGGACAUUCUGGUACCAUUCUUUAUUCAUGGCUGUGUUUUUAGGUAAGACUGUGAGAGAGCCGACUCCCUUGGCUGAGAAGCAACCCCACACAUGAAUGGUUUCAGGAUGCUUUACAGUUGGCAUGAGACAAGACUGGUGGUAGCGCUCACCUCGUCUUCUCCGAACAAGCUGUUUUCCAGAUGUCCCAAACAAUCGGAAAGGGGAUUCAUCAGAGAAAAUGACUUUACCCCAGUCCUCAGCAGUCCACUCCCUGUACCUUUUGCAGAAUAUCAGUCUGUCCCUGAUGUUUUUCCUGGAGAGAAGUGGCUUCUUUGCUGCCCUCCUUGAGACCAGGCCUUGCUCCAAGAGUCUCCGCCUCACAGUGCGUGCAGAUGCACUCACACCUGCCUGCUGCCAUUCCUGAGCAAGCUCUGCACUGCUGGUAGCCCGAUCCCGCAGCUGAAACACUUUUAAGAGACGGUUCUGGCGCUUGCUGGUCUUUCUUGGGCGCCCUGGAGCCUUUUUGGCAACAAUGGAACCUCUCUCCUUGAAGUUCUUGAUGAUGCAAUAGAUUGUUGACUGAGGUGCAAUCUUUCUAGCUGCAAUUCUCUUUCCUGUUAGGUCAUUUUUGUGCAGUGCAAUGAUGACUGCACGUGUUUCUUUCGAGGUAACCAUGGUUCACAGCAGAGAAACAAUGAUUCCAAGCACCAGCCUCUUUUUAAAGUGUCCAGUGGUGUCAUUCUUACUUAAUCAUGACAGAUUGAUCUCCAGCCCUGUCCUCAUCACCACCCACACCUGUGUUAAUGGAGCAAUCGCUGAAACAAUGUUAGCUGGUCCUUUUAAGGCAGGGCUGCAAUGAAGUUGAAAUGUGUUUUGGGGGAUAAAGUUCAUUUUCUAGGCAAAUAUUGACUUUGCAAUUAAUUGCUGUUACGCUGAUCACUCUUUAUAACAUUCUGGAGUAUAUGCAAAUUGCCGUUAUAAAAACUGAAGCAGUAGACUUUGUAAAUAUUAACAUUUGAAUCAUUCUCAAAACAUUUGGCCAUGAUUGUACAUCCCUGAACCUUUAAUU
Xiphophorus hellerii (green swordtail) is the source of this 4569-nucleotide long non-coding RNA. RefSeq lists it as uncharacterized. Lineage: Eukaryota; Metazoa; Chordata; Actinopteri; Cyprinodontiformes; Poeciliidae. The transcript is spliced from 3 exons. The record is from RefSeq and is a predicted model, not a curated record.